UUGACGGGUUCCCAGUGUGACAUUAAUAUUUAACUCACAGUUUCGGCUGGACUUAUUUUUCAUUACUGUGAAUACUCUUGGCUUUCAUUUUAUGCGGCAUUUCCAUGUUAUGCAUCUCAGUACACGAAGCUGUCAUAUCGGUUAGAUUAUUCUAUUCAUACCUCACAGAGGCAUGGGCCGUUCAUAGAAUUGGGCAUGACUGCGGCACGGGAUCAAGAUUAAACACAAAAUGGAGAUCAUUGAGCUGCCUAACCAUGGGAUUUUUCUUACCUCUGUGGCUGCCAUUGGGAGAGAUCUUUGUCCACCUUCCCAGCAGUUAACAUGGUAGGAAUGUGGCAGUAGCAGGCUCUAUGUAUGGCUUGCGAUGGGAACCCAACAAAUCCCCUUUAUCACUGUGUGAACUGCUGCAAAACUAUUUCUAAUUUCAACCUGAUUUUCAAAGCCUCUCACUGUCAGACAGCAAGAUUACAAGAUUAUUCAACGCAGAGAUGACCACUUUUGAGUUUCUACCCCACCAUUUUGCUGUCUUUAUAUGAGUUAUUAAAUCUCACAUAAAGUCACUGGUGUACAUGACAAACCAUGACCUGAAUCUCCUCAGCCCCAUUCAUCUUUAGUUCAAAGAGGAGAUUUUUCAACCUUUGAGUGUCCCCGGCUUAUCUCCCAUUGGAGACUGCGAUAUGUUUUAAUGACUGAUAUGCACCCAUUUCGAUCAAAACAUUUAACUGCAGGUUAAAUAAGGUGUCUAGGCCCUGGGACAAAAAUAUUAAGCAAUGGUUAGCAUCAAAAUAG
Amblyraja radiata (thorny skate) is the source of this 789-nucleotide long non-coding RNA. RefSeq lists it as uncharacterized. The record is from RefSeq and is a predicted model, not a curated record. The transcript is spliced from 2 exons. NCBI's taxonomy places the organism in Eukaryota, Metazoa, Chordata, Chondrichthyes, Rajiformes, Rajidae.